This is a long non-coding RNA of Alosa sapidissima (American shad), 220 nucleotides long. RefSeq lists it as uncharacterized. The record is from RefSeq and is a predicted model, not a curated record. The transcript is spliced from 3 exons. NCBI's taxonomy places the organism in Eukaryota, Metazoa, Chordata, Actinopteri, Clupeiformes, Clupeidae.
UUGAUUCACUUUUGCAACGACAUGCUAGCUGGAAUCGCCGGAUUACAGCGACUACGCUAAACUAAAGCCAACCGGGCCGUUUCUAGAUUAGGACAAUGGCUGGGUCGGCUAUAAAACGCUUUGGCUCACUCAUCCAACUCUAAGGACUGCGGGGAGUGACCCAAUUUCACCUAGGGGUGGCGUGCUGCUUUAAGCAUACAAUCUGGCUCUUUUAAGACUA